This 762-nucleotide ribosomal RNA is filed under the name Bacillus sp. CH148. RNAcentral describes it as "bacterial SSU rRNA". It matches the Rfam family "Bacterial small subunit ribosomal RNA", at positions 60 to 803 of the family's 1533-position model. Lineage: Bacteria; Bacillati; Bacillota; Bacilli; Caryophanales; Bacillaceae. The record is from RNAcentral.
AGUCGAGCGGAGUUUUGAAAGCUUGCUUUUCAAACUUAGCGGCGGACGGGUGAGUAACACGUGGGCAACCUGCCCUUGAGACGGGGAUAACUCCGGGAAACCGGAGCUAAUACCGGAUAACACAUAUCUUCGCAUGAGGAUAUGUUAGAAGGUGGCUUUUAGCUACCACUCAAGGAUGGGCCCGCGGCGCAUUAGCUAGUUGGUGAGGUAACGGCUCACCAAGGCGACGAUGCGUAGCCGACCUGAGAGGGUGAUCGGCCACACUGGGACUGAGACACGGCCCAGACUCCUACGGGAGGCAGCAGUAGGGAAUCUUCCGCAAUGGACGAAAGUCUGACGGAGCAACGCCGCGUGAGUGAUGAAGGUUUUCGGAUCGUAAAGCUCUGUUGUUAGGGAAGAACAAGUACCUGUUGAAUAAGCAGGUACCUUGACGGUACCUAACCAGAAAGCCACGGCUAACUACGUGCCAGCAGCCGCGGUAAUACGUAGGUGGCAAGCGUUGUCCGGAAUUAUUGGGCGUAAAGCGCGCGCAGGCGGUUCCUUAAGUCUGAUGUGAAAGCCCACGGCUCAACCGUGGAGGGUCAUUGGAAACUGGGGAACUUGAGUGCAGAAGAGGAGAGCGGAAUUCCACGUGUAGCGGUGAAAUGCGUAGAGAUGUGGAGGAACACCAGUGGCGAAGGCGGCUCUCUGGUCUGUAACUGACGCUGAGGCGCGAAAGCGUGGGGAGCGAACAGGAUUAGAUACCCUGGUAGUCCACGCCGU